UGGGGAAUAUUGGACAAUGGAGGAAACUCUGAUCCAGCAAUUCUGUGUGUGUGAAGAAGGUUUUAGGACUGUAAAACACUUUUAGUAGGGAAGAAAAAAAUGACGGUACCUACAGAAGAAGCAACGGCUAAAUACGUGCCAGCAGCCGCGGUAAUACGUAUGUUGCGAGCGUUAUCCGGAAUUAUUGGGCUUAAAGGGCAUCUAGGCGGUAAGACAAGUUGAAGGUGAAAACCUGUGGCUCAACCAUAGGCUUGCCUACAAAACUGUUGAACUAGAGUACUGGAAAGGUGGGUGGAACUACACGAGUAGAGGUGGAAUUCGUAGAUAUGUGUAGGAAUGCCGAUGAUGAAGAUAACUCACUGGACAGAAACUGACGCUGAAGUGCGAAAGCUAGGGGAGCAAACAGG
This 407-nucleotide ribosomal RNA is filed under the name Verrucomicrobiota bacterium. Its description in RNAcentral is "Verrucomicrobia bacterium partial 16S ribosomal RNA". It matches the Rfam family "Bacterial small subunit ribosomal RNA", at positions 355 to 776 of the family's 1533-position model. Lineage: Bacteria; Pseudomonadati; Verrucomicrobiota. The record is from RNAcentral.